RNAcentral lists this small RNA (132 nucleotides) under Salmonella enterica subsp. enterica serovar Gallinarum. Its description in RNAcentral is "RtT sRNA". It matches the Rfam family "RtT RNA". Rfam says of the family: This family represents a bacterial cis-regulatory element known as RtT RNA. The exact function of RtT is unknown although it is thought that it may be involved in changing the cellular response in relation to amino acid starvation. Lineage: Bacteria; Pseudomonadati; Pseudomonadota; Gammaproteobacteria; Enterobacterales; Enterobacteriaceae. RNAcentral also lists the same sequence under 176 other names. The record is from RNAcentral.
GUUUGCACUUGUCGGGGAAGGGUGAGAACCUUCGAUUAAGGUUCGACUCGAGCGAAAGCGAGAGAACGUUGCCAACGGCAACGGCCCGUAGGGUGAGGAGCGAAGCGACGAAUAAUCCUUCCCCUACCACCA